AACGCACAUUGCGCCCGCCAGUAUUCUGGCGGGCAUGCCUGUUCGAGCGUCAUUAACACCCCUCAAGCCCCCGGGCUUGGUGUUGGGGAUCGGGAAACCGCUCGCCGGCGGACGCGCCCCCCUCGGGGGCCCUUCGCCGGCCCGCGCCCCGUCCCCCAAAUGCAUCGGCGGUCACGCCGCGGCCUCUUGCGCGUAGUAGAAAACACCUCGCGCCGGAGCCCGACGUGGUCCACGCCGUAAAACCCCCGACUUUUUACCAAGUUGACCUCGAAUCAGGUAGGACUACCCGCUGAACUUAA
This 299-nucleotide unclassified non-coding RNA is filed under the name uncultured fungus. Its description in RNAcentral is "sequence contains ITS2". The stretch from base 1 to 52 matches the Rfam family "5.8S ribosomal RNA", at positions 103 to 154 of the family's 154-position model. Lineage: Eukaryota; Fungi. The record is from RNAcentral.